CGUCUAUAUACGUAUAGCAUAUCAAUAAGCGGAGGAAAAGAAACUAACUAGGAUUCCCUUAGUAACGGCGAGUGAAGCGGGAAGAGCUCAAAUUUGAAAUCUUCAAGGUUCUACCUUGACGAAUUGUAGUUUAUAAGAAGUGUUUUCUGUUGGAGUUUUGGUAAAAGUUCUUUGGAAUAGGACAUCAUAGAGGGUGAGAAUCCCGUAUUUGACCAUUAUUUCCAACUUUGUGAUACACUUUCAAAGAGUCGGAUUGUUUGGGAAUGCAGUCCAAAAUGGGUGGUAAAUUUCAUCUAAAGCUAAAUACUGGCGAGAGACCGAUAGCGAACAAGUACCGUGAGGGAAAGAUGAAAAGAACUUUGAAAAGAGAGUUAAACAGUACGUGAAAUUGUCAAAAGGGAAGCGUUUGACACCAGUGCUUGUUUUCUCGAAAAUCAAUUAAAAAUGGCAGGAUUUUGUGUUGUAUUGACUUUAUCAGCUUUCUGCACUUUUUUCCUUAUCUUUUUUAAUGCACUUUUCGUUUAACAAGUCAACAUCAAUUUCUUUUGCUGUAAAAGAGUCAUUGGAAGGUGGCUUUCUUUUCGGAGAAAGUGUUUAUAGCCUUUGGCCUCUGCAAUCGGAGAGAUUGAGGUCUGCAGCGUAGAUCCUUCGGGGUUAGAUACAUUUGUGCUAAGUUAUAGCCUUUCAUAGACAACUUGUUGACUAUGAUCAGUCAUGUAGCUUACUCGCUUAUGCUAUUUUACCUACGCUUAGGAUGUUGACGCGCGUGUGUGCGUG
Molecule: ribosomal RNA, 777 nt
Filed under: uncultured Neocallimastigales
Lineage: Eukaryota; Fungi; Neocallimastigomycota; Neocallimastigomycetes; Neocallimastigales
Description: partial large subunit ribosomal RNA
Rfam family: Eukaryotic large subunit ribosomal RNA
Source: RNAcentral